This 492-nucleotide ribosomal RNA is filed under the name uncultured bacterium. RNAcentral describes it as "partial 16S ribosomal RNA". It matches the Rfam family "Bacterial small subunit ribosomal RNA", at positions 29 to 507 of the family's 1533-position model. The record is from RNAcentral.
AGUGAACGCUGGCGGUAGGCCUAACACAUGCAAGUCGAACGGCAGCACAGUAAGAGCUUGCUCUUACGGGUGGCGAGUGGCGGACGGGUGAGGAAUACAUCGGAAUCUACUUUUUCGUGGGGGAUAACGUAGGGAAACUUACGCUAAUACCGCAUACGACCUACGGGUGAAAGCAGGGGAUCUUCGGACCUUGCGCGAUUGAAUGAGCCGAUGUCGGAUUAGCUAGUUGGCGGGGUAAAGGCCCACCAAGGCGCCGAUCCGUAGCUGGUCUGAGAGGAUGAUCAGCCACACUGGAACUGAGACACGGUCCAGACUCCUACGGGAGGCGGCAGUGGGGAAUAUUGGACAAUGGGCGCAAGCCUGAUCCAGCCAUACCGCGUGGGUGAAGAAGGCCUUCGGGUUGUAAAGCCCUUUUGUUGGGAAAGAAAAGCAGCAGGUUAAUACCCCGCUGUUCUGACGGUACCCAAAGAAUAAGCACCGGCUAACUUCGUG